This is an RNA transcript of Zingiber officinale, 1745 nucleotides long. It is a transcript of the gene named solute carrier family 35 member F1-like, with no coding region annotated. The record is from RefSeq and is a predicted model, not a curated record. The transcript has 11 exons. Lineage: Eukaryota; Viridiplantae; Streptophyta; Magnoliopsida; Zingiberales; Zingiberaceae.
GAGAACGAUGCAUCUGAAUCUCAAACAAAUCUGAAGCUUCAACCCUGUAAUCUGUUUAAGCAUGGAAAGGAAGGGUAUAUGGAGGCUGGCCCUCAUCCUACUCCUUGGCCAGCUUGUCUCUUUCUUCCUUGCAGUAGCUAGCUUCACUUCUUCUCUGAUAGCAGAUCUCGGAACUGAUACACCAUUAACACAGUCAUGGUUUACUUACCUUUCUUUGUCUCUCGUGUAUGGUGCUGUUUUCUUCUUCAGGGGGGCAGAGACCUUGUGGUUCCUUGGUACUGGUACCUUGCCUUGGCCAUUGUUGACGUCGAAGGCAACUACUUAAUAGUCAAAGCCUAUCAGUAUUCUUCAAUUACAAGUGUGACAUUGCUGGAUUGCUGGACUAUUCCAUGGGUCAUAAUCCUCACUUGGUUUGUCCUAGGGACAAGGUAUUCUCCAUGUCAAUUUGUGGGUGUUGCAGUGUGUGUGUUAGGCCUUGGCUUGGUGCUUCUUUCCGACGCGCACAUAUCUGGUGGUAGAUAUGGAAGUAAACCUAUCAUUGGCGAUGCACUUGUGAUUGCUGGGACAUUUUGCUAUGCAUUCAGCAAUGUUGGUGAGGAAUUCUGUGUUAAGAGGAAAGAUCAAGUUGAAGUGCUUGCAAUGCUUGGGAUACUUGGGGUGCUAGUUAGUACUUGUGAGAUAUCUAUUUUUGAGAGGAAAGGUCUUGAAUCAGUAAAGUGGUCUGCCACAAUGAUAUGUUUGUUUGGUGGAUUUGCAGCUGCAACAUUUCUGUUCUACACUGUUGUUCCUUUUGUGUUGCAGAUGAGUGGAGCAACCUUGUUCAAUCUAUCUCUUCUCACAUCCGAUAUGCGGGCUGUGCAUCUUCUUAUACCAUGAUAAAUUUGGUGGCUAUUGGCUUGAUCAUUUACUCAGUGAAGUAAGUUUGCAUUUCAGCAAUGGUAAUUCUACAUUUUCAUCAAACUUUCUCCUGAUGUGUAAAUCUCAAUUCCAUUUUUCAAUUCAGUCAAUUCAGGACUGAAUUGACUGCCUGAGCAUUGUUCAGCUACAAAUAUGAAGCCUAAAUGAGAUGCAGAUGAUGUUCUAAGGACUGAUUAGUGUAAUUGAUGACAUGAUUGAGAAUUCAUUUAAAGUGUGUAUUUCAGUUUGCUCCAUGUUUUAGUAAAUCCAAGAAGAUAAGUACUGAUGCGGUAAUGAUGAAGGAUAGUGAAAGUCAAAGGAGGUUAAAGUCAAGGUGGUCAAUACAUAUAUGACAUCGAUCGGUCGGACGAAAUAUGCCUCGACUAAGGAGAAGGUAUUAUAUCAGGGACACUUUACUGACAAAUCUUUUCAGUAAAAACUUCGAGAAAUGUGCACGCGCGCUACCGGAGCUCUAUAUAAAAAGGGAUCCAAACAUCGGCGGAGGUCCGCGCGGAGUCCUUAGGAGGUCAGCGUGAGCGCCACAUGUCUAUCUUUCCGUUUCUUCGACUUUCGGACAUGAUCAAGUACGUUGCACAUAGUUCCUUCGAUCGAUGGGAAUAAUAGUCGCAAAUUAAGUUACAAAUCGACUUGUACCAUAUUGACUUAAGAUUCAAAAUAUUUUUUAGAGUCGCAAACUCGUAUUAAACUAAAAAAUCCAAAUCUCUGCAAGUUAGAUUUGGAAAAUUUUGUUCCUUAGAACUACAUUUUGUUGAAAUAAAAUAGUCAAAUCCGCUUGUAACUGAAAUUUAAAAAUUUAUAAAAUUAUUUAGGGUUUGAGGCUUCAACGC